Molecule: long non-coding RNA, 664 nt
Filed under: Numida meleagris (helmeted guineafowl)
Lineage: Eukaryota; Metazoa; Chordata; Aves; Galliformes; Numididae
Description: lncRNA (ENSNMEG00000014529.1)
Source: RNAcentral
AAUGUAACUUCAUUUCGCCUAAUGUUGAACAAUAUUUUCUUUGCAUGUGGAUAUUUUGAUAUGCGGAUACUGAGAGACCUAGUGAUCCAGCCAAGAAAAGGCACAAUCAACUGAAUCAGCUGCUUUGAGAGUUGUCAAGAUUCCUGGCUCAUCUGAGACCCACUAGCAUAACACCAGAUAGAAAGCUGAAGCAGCAUAAAUGAAGAGAUGCCUCCUUUGUAAACCUAAGAUGUCCUCAGGUGGAAAGUGACUGCUAAAACAUUAUUUUGCCACAUGAACAAGAUCCUGAAUCUCCUGGGAUUCCAGCAGAAAGUGGAAGUCAGCCUUACACUUGAGCCCCAGUGCAACCUGCUGGCAUGUGCACAGCACGAGAUGAGCGGUAGACCUCAGGCUUUGUUUCAUCUAGAACAAUCAGAUAAGGCUGAUUUCUGAAGACAGUUCAGAAUGAACAGAUUUCAGUUGCCCCCAGUGAUAACCAUCAUUGUCAACAGGAGGCAUUCCAGGUACUGACACUAGAGCCCUAAAUGUUCAGAUACUGAACAUUUUAUCUUUUAUUUUAAAAACUACUGCUGGGAACUCUCUUUAUAGAAUGCAAUGGAUGAUGAGUAUUUAGAAGAAGAAUGAACCCUGAAGGAGAAUAAAGCACAAGCCUCAGAGAUUGUCA